GACGAACGCUGGCGGCGUGCUUAACACAUGCAAGUCGAACGGUGACCUCGGAGCUUGCUCCGGGCGAUCAGUGGCGAACGGGUGAGUAACACGUGAGUAACCUGCCCCAGACUCUGGGAUAACCCCGGGAAACCGGAGCUAAUACCGGAUAUGACGCGAAGAGGCAUCUCUAUCGCGUGGAAAGUUCUUCGGUCUGGGAUGGACUCGCGGCCUAUCAGCUUGUUGGUGGGGUAACGGCCCACCAAGGCGACGACGGGUAGCCGGCCUGAGAGGGCGA
This 277-nucleotide ribosomal RNA is filed under the name uncultured bacterium. RNAcentral's name for it is "partial 16S ribosomal RNA". It matches the Rfam family "Bacterial small subunit ribosomal RNA", at positions 28 to 303 of the family's 1533-position model. The record is from RNAcentral.